Molecule: long non-coding RNA, 2518 nt
Organism: Manis javanica (Malayan pangolin)
Lineage: Eukaryota; Metazoa; Chordata; Mammalia; Pholidota; Manidae
Source: RefSeq, a predicted model, not a curated record
UUAGUGCUGGCUGCUGGCGAGUGUGGGCAGUGGCGACGUCUAAGACGAGGUCUGCUCACUCAUGUGUGUGGAAAUCGUGCUCUGAGCAGGGUUGGGGGAGCAGAAUGGGACCCGGUUCCACCUCCUGCUUUUUUUGUGAUUUCACACUACCCGCUUCUGUGAGGCUGAACGCUUUAAAAUGCCCUUGACUGCCAAGCCGGCACUGUUUUUAAAAAAAUCUGCUUGCCUCUCCUUCUCCUACAAACUGGUAGAGGAAGAAGCAGGUCAGUGGCAGAUUCUGUGGCAGAGGCUGCCCUUGGCCCGUUCUCUCUACAUUCCUUCCAUGGUCCAGAAGUUUGAGCUGGAGACAUAACUUCCCAGGAUAAAGACAUGUCCCAGCCUCCUGAAAGCAGGGGGGCCACCUGACUGCGUGGUGGCCCGGGUCCCAGCUGGGAUGUCAGAUGGCAACUGCUAGGACCCUUGUUUUCAGAGGGAGCUGGUGCUGCCCUAAAGGAAAACCCCCGUGCGUCUCCCUUACUCACCCCGCUCAACUUGCCUUCACUUCCACACCAGAUGUGUGGGGUUCCCAUACAUGCACCAAGCAACUCUGGCACCAGCUGGGUGUCUGCGACUUAACUCAGCUCGUGUCAGAUCCCACAGCUCACGGGCUCAGUCCCACAAGGCCCCCCACCCCCCACUUCAGACACCAACUGCCAGUCCCAGGUUCUCACCCGUGCUUCUGACGGGCAGGCUACAAUCACGGUUCUUACGGCCCUCUUCUUGGGUUUGACGAUUUGCCAGGAUGGCUCAAAGAACUCAGGGAAGCCCUUAAAGUUUGUCUUUUUAUUAUAUACUUGAGGGCGUGAUGAAGGAUACGGGAAGAGACACAUGGGAGAGGUCCAGAGGGGUCCCGGGCGUAGGGGCGCUGGCCCUGGGGCGUGGAGGUGGUCGCCCUCCCUGUGUGUGGAUAUGUUUGUCAACCUGGAGACUCCCCGAAUCCCCCACUCUUUGAGGACUUUCAUGAACACUUCUUCCUGUAGGUAUGAUCAGUUAUUAACUCAAUCUCCAGCCCCUUUCUGAGCCUUCCCAGAGGAUGGGAGGCGGGAUUGAAAGUUCCAACCCUCUAAUGAUGGUGUGGUCUUUCUGGGCCAGCCCCAUCCAGGAGCCCACCGAAUGCCUCUUCAGAACAAAAGACACUCUUACCACCCAGGAAAUCCCAAGGGACUUAGGGGCUGAGUGUCAGGAACUGGGGUCAAAGACCACGCAUUAGAACAAGGGAUGCUCCCAGUGUUGGCAUUUAGGAAGUUACAGGGAUUUCAGGGGCCCUGUGCCAGGAACUGGGGGCAGAAACCAAUGUAUAUAUAUAUGUUCUAUCAUUUCACAAGGCCCCUUAUCUUUCCCCCCUCCCUCUGCCCUGCUUCUUGGAAUAUGGCCACGAUGGCCGGUGCUCCAUCUUAAAAGGACAAGGGCCACGCACAACAGGGCAACAAGCCUGCGUCCCUGACGCCUCGGACCCCCUGCCAGCUCAGGACUGUCCACUCCAAUGUGGUGUGAAGGAGGAAUAAACCUCCAAUGGCUUAAGCACUAUUAUUUUGAGGAUGAUUCCCAGUUAAACCAAUGCCAACUGAGGCCGAUGAGAAGAGGAACUGUUUUGUACGGAGGGACCAGAUAACGAGUUCCAUUGCCCAGGAUGGGGUUCCACGUGGAAGUACUGUCUCUCACUGCCCGGCUCCUUCCCCUGGCAUGGGACCCUCCGAACCCACCUUACUGUGCUCUGCAGGGGUGAGCCUGCUGAGGGCCUGUGCCCAGCACGGGCAGUUCCGGCUGCACCCGGAGCUGUGCCCGUGCCACCUUGCCAGCCAUCCUUCAGGACGGCCUCCGUCUUAAUUGCUGUGCCCUUCGUGCCACAGGGCGGAGAAGCGCCUUGUCAGAGUGUGAAAGUGAGUAGAUGAUGGGCAAAUGGGAACCAAAAAUUUGUUUCAGACUGCAGUGGACACCUCUUAAAUGACCCGUGGGGAUAGGCCAACGCCCGAACCACUGUUUAUGUGUUUAUCUUAUGUUAUUCACCCGUUUCUGUUAAAAGGAAGUAAGAGAGGUUCAGGGAAUCUGUAAGGAAGUAGUUCAGGUGGAAUUAAGGAUAACUAAAUUGAUAAUCUACUGUCUUUUGACCUCUUAAGACGGAAAAAUUCUGCAAUCUGUACCUUCCUCUCAGAGAAUAUUUUACACUCACUAACUGCACAACUUUGGUGCUGUGAAGAAAAGGAGAAGGUGAAUUCUGAUCGUAUGAGCCUCUGGGAACACAAGGAAUUAAGGGACAUGGCUAGUUUAGAAUGUAAUCCUUUCUUAAUGAGAAACCUUAAAAAAAAACCCAAGCAACCUCCGCAGUCCCAUCAAGGCUUUUACCAGCAGCUACUGCCACCUUUGGGGCCAUUAGGAAACACAUUCAAGUCCUUGGGCAAAUUAUAAAGCGUCACUCUCAGGAAUUAUGAAAUUAACAAGUCUUUCUACUUUAAAAUAUAGGGUGAUGAAUCAUACUGUA